AGGCGCUGCGAGAGUUUGGGUGCCCCCCCUGGGAACAGCCCCCCAAGGCGGAGGAGCCGCUCAGCCCCCCGGUGAUCCUGGAUGACCCCGGCGAUCCCGAGCUGGCCCAGGCUGUGGCCGCCGCCCGCGGGGCCGCCCCGGGGAGCUGCCCGGGGGGCGGGCCCUGCUGACGAGGCGGCCGCUCGGGGUGCUGGGCGUGGCCUGGGGUUGGCCCCGCCCCCUGGCGCUGGAGCUCCUCCUCCCGGCGCUGGCGCUCGGGAACGCGGUCGUGGUGGUAGCGCCUCCUGGCGGCGCCGGUGCCGCACAGCGGCUGCGGAAGUCUCUGGUGGCCGCGGGGCUGCCGGGGGCGGCCCUGUCGGUGCUUCCCGGCGCUUCCCAGGGCUGCGGACGUCGCCUGGCGCGGCAGCGCCCGGACGGGCUGUGGCUGUGCGGGGGGGACGCGGUGAGUGCGGGGGCGGUGCGGGACAUUUGGGGGGGGGACAGCGGAGAGCACGCGGGGAAGGGGGGUGGGCACUGGGACGUUUUGGGGGUCCCGAGCCGUGGGACGGCUGCUGUGGGGGAUUUUGGAGUGGGGGGGGCACACCCCCCGGCUGU
This 594-nucleotide long non-coding RNA is filed under the name Junco hyemalis (dark-eyed junco). Its description in RNAcentral is "lncRNA (ENSJHYG00000000943.1)". The record is from RNAcentral. Lineage: Eukaryota; Metazoa; Chordata; Aves; Passeriformes; Passerellidae.